Small nuclear RNA from Callithrix jacchus (white-tufted-ear marmoset), 111 nucleotides. The record is from Ensembl. Lineage: Eukaryota; Metazoa; Chordata; Mammalia; Primates; Cebidae.
UUGCUUCAGCAGCACAUAUACUAAAAUUGGACCAAUGCAGGGAAGAUUAAUAUGACCUCUGAGUAAGGAUGACACAAAACUUGUGAAACGUUCCAUUAAAAAUAAUUUUUU